CAUGCGUAGACGGCCCUGACGCAUGCGCAUCGGGGGAGGUGGGCAAGGCAUAUUGGGGAGAGUAUAGUCGGGGAAUUUGAGCUCAGGCGCAAUCUGACACCUAGAAGAAAGAGAGAGAAGUCAUUUCACAUGAGAGACCCUGCUUUGAAGCCAGUCAGCUUGAUCGCCAGACCUCCAAGAAACAAAACAAGAUCUCUGGGUAGAUUUGAGGAGAUUCCUCAGAGUUAAAAUACAGGAAGACUUCAGAGUCUGCACUUUCAUCUACUGUUUGGAAGAGCUGAUUGGAGAAAAACUUUCUUUCUUAGAACACCUAAGAAAGGAAAAUUCUGCUGGUUGGAAGUGCUUAUUGGGAAAAAAAAUGUAUUUGCUGGAAGAGUUCACAGAAGGAGAAAAGUUUGACCUUUCCUUUAAUUUUCAUCUACUUCCUGUUAAGGUGAAACCUCUCAAGAGUCCAGCCAAGAGAGAAGAACAGGAAAAGCUCCACAAAUCCCAGGCUUAGGGUAACUAGUCUUGCUGAAAGAGUUUAAUGCUCCCUUGGCAUUAUGUGAACAGACCUGAAAAAUCUCUGUAGUUCUCAGAUUUAGUGGUUCUUUUUUGGGUGAAAGAACUCGACAUUACCUUGGCAGCCUGGAAGAAUAGCCUGAGCUUAGAAGCAAGCCCUAUCUAGAAGAAGAAAUGACUUGUAGUACAUUGUCCCUGAGAGAGAUCAAAGACAUCAAGGCCUCCAAUCCAGAGUUGUGAGCUCCUCUAAACUCAUGUGUUUCCUACUCAUUUGCCUCUUUGCUUGUAAUUUUGUAUGUUUAUUCCUUUUAUCCCUCAUGAAUACUAUGUGCAUUAGCAGAAGAGUAUAUUCCAGAUUUAUGAAUAGAAAGUUAUGUUUGAAUUAUUCUUGCUUUGCCUUCUAUUUAGUAUUUAGUAAAUGCUUUUGAUUAAGAACUAAUUGUAUCAUAUUAGCUGAUUUAUUCAAUGAGAAACACACCUGAGAGGACUCAGGAACUAUGUUUUUGAGGAAUAGGAGUUUAUUCUUCCUUCCAGGGUUACCCCUGGGACCCUGAGAGUGAUAGCCUGAUCACCCCCCCUUCAGGAAAACUCCUAACUAUAUAGUGUGAGUAUGGAUUGUGUAAGCAAGCUGGCCCCCAAAGAAAGAGAAAAGUGGGGUUUACUUUGAAAUAUCACACUAAAGAAGCAAACUUCUGUUGGCAGGUUAGAUCUCCUACCAAGAGAGUUUGCAAUCUCUGUACCAAGGUUUAGAGAAAAAUUACUCUUGAACACAGAUUAUCUUAGAUUCUGAAGUAACUGAAGACCAAUGAGCCAUUAUGGCACUUCAUAUGAUGUUAUAACAUGAUUGACUUUGUUUCUAAUGUUAUUUGUCCUUCAGUUUUCAGAGAAGAACAGUGACAUCACCAGGUGAAAUCUUUAUUUGUGAGUGAAUUAGACUGAAGGAAGGCAAUGUUGCACAGUGAUCAUCCUCACUCUUUCUUCCAGAGUCUUAUUUCUGGUAUAAACUGAGGCAAAAGAUAUUUUUCCUAGUUAUUGUGAUAUUUAUAGGGAAAGAUGCGGUGGAUAAGAACAGGGGAUACAGAAGGUUUGUAGCAGGGAAUGGAGGAGUUGAAGGAGAGAAGGAAUAUGGCUGCCAGUGAGGCAAAGGAGAGAGAUGCCCCCUGCCAAGAGGCUGUUUUUGAACAAAAUGGGGUGUCCAAGAAAUGAGCCACUUAUGAUAGCCUGCUGGGAUUUCUUCUUGCUGGAUUGCUGCCAAAGUUGCCCCAGUGCAGGUAAACACAGACCCUCCUGAGGGACAAGCCUUUCCCCAGAAUUUGGUCGCCCAGCAGGGGUCCAAUAAGGAACAUUUGUAAUUGGAUGACUGAACUGAGGUUCAGCUCCCUCUAUGCCCCAGGAAAGAUAGUCCACUUAUCUGACUUCAAUAUUCAAAUAAGAUAAAUUUUAAUAACCAGUUUGGAUUGUAGAGGUAUCAGGGAAAAGGGAAGAGGGAUGUACCCAAAUAAGGUUGGAGUCUUUCUCAGCUUUGGAGCUGAGGCCAGGCCUCACAGGCUGGUGGAGGGUUUCUCUUAUUCCUGUCUACAUUAUAUCUGUGCUAGUUUUCUUAAUUUCAAAAUCUUAGCAGUAGACAGCAAGCAACAAGAAAAGUUCUGACUUUCAGAUCUGGUUGGGCCUGUCUCUUUGGGUUAAAGAAAUCAAGGCACUCCUAUCCAGACUGGGAAGCCAAAGAACAUCCCACUACCCAGGCCAGAAAGGAAGUGCUAGUCACAAGACCCACUGCCACUCCCAGUUGCCCCUUCCCCCACCAACUGUCAGUCUUGACAAUUUCUUUUCUCUCUAAUAUUCCCAUUGUUGCCUGUUCCAACACAGUGGCAGAUAGUCGAGAGAACUUGUUCUAGUUUCCUUUCCACAUUAUUGACACAGGUUAUUAAUACUGCUAACAAAAUAAGAGCUGGUUGUGUCUUAAAGAAGAUAUAAAAUUUAGUCUGUAUGGUCAAAUCUCUACUGAAGACCUGUAAUAUCUUGUGUUUCAAUGUUAGGCUCUUAAAACUCAAGUCAACAGAAUGAAAGUUCUGACUGAUCCUUCAAGCUAGAAAGACUUUCAAAUAUGGAGUCACUGGGGGCAUCUGGGUGGCUCAAUGGAUUGAGAGUCAGGCCCAGAGUUGAGAGGUCCUAGGUUCAAAUGUGAUCUCAGACACUUCCUAGCUGUGUGACCCUGGGGAAAUCACUUAACCCCCAUUGCCUAGUCCUUACCACUCUUCUGCCUUGGAACCAACAAAUAGUAUUGAUUUCAAGACAGAAGUUAAGGGUUUUUUAAAAAAUUGACUCACUGAUGGAUUGAUCCUAUGCCUCUUGGCCAAGAAACAACUCUAAUGAAAUCUAGAGCUAUCUGUUCAUCACUAGAUUAAGUGUUACACAUUUCUUAACCUGAGCAAUUUUCACAGACUAUCUAAUAAGACAGAGGAAGUAUACCCUUUAUCAAUGGAAGGAAUGCUUAUGUUGGGCAAAAUUACCCGUUUUUGAAGUAUUGACAUAAAAGCUCAAAAUUACAAAGUAUUGCUCAUAUUGGUGGGCAGGAAAAGCAAGACCAAACAGCCUUCUCAGAGUAGAACCAGCCAAUUUUCACAUGCUGUGCCACAGAGCAGAAUUUCAGCCAUUCAGACUGUUAGUUUUAUGGUUGGACUAAAAUGUUCUAAAGACGAUUUCAAAAUGACUGGGCAAAGUCCUCUGAUCACCAACUUUCUAUCCUAUCCAAAUAUAUUCACUCUUCCCCUGACACCCAGUCCCAUACUUUUCCAUUCUGUUAUCAUUUAAAAAAAUAAUUAGUUUUCCUUUUUUAAAAUAUUCAAUUCAAGAAAAAAUAUUUCAUUUUCCAGCACUUCAGCUUUCUCUGAUAAAUGCUGUUCUUUCUUUCCAAAGUAGCCCACAUUUGCCAAAUGUGUAAAUUCAUUUAUAUAGCUAAUAAUAACUUUCUUUUAAAAACUAAUUUUUUACUUUUGAGUUCAACUAAUAAGGGAAAAGUAAGAAGAGGAAGAGAAUCAUAACCUUAUUUUCCAGAAGGUAUAUUGCUGAGAACUAGAAACAUUAGUCUAUUAAUCUAUUUCACAUUUUCAACUGUCAAAAAUUUGGUUUAUAUUUACUGCUCCAUGCUCAGUGGACAGUCAUUUUUCAUUAUGCACUAGACUAAGAAUGUAAAAUUAAAUGUUCAACAAUAUUUGUACAGAUGAAGAAGCCCCCAGCUUUAGCCUUUGACAUAACUAGGACAAUCUAAUAUAAUAACACUUUAAAAGGAUUAACUGCCCCAAACCAACUCCUGGGGGAAAAACAUAUGGCACUAUAUUUAGCUAAAAGGUUCUUGAUAAUAUGUACAUCUUUAUUAGAUUUACAGUAUAUGACCCUCAUUCUGUCCAGAUACAAUUUAUAUUAUAGUGUUUAACAAGGGAUUCUGUCAACAAAAAAGUCAUCUGUAAGAUACAUUAGCUUUUACUUAUUUUAAGAGUUUUUUAAAAAUCAAACAUAGCUAGUAUUUCACUACUUAUAUUGUGAUUUUAUGUUUUGUGUCUCAUUUGAAUUAAAUAGUUAGGCCUGUGAAUGGUCAAACUAUCCCUACCCGUUCAUCAGGUCAUUAAGCAAUAUUUUCAUGAUAUCAAACCAUUUGAUUCAGUUCAGUUUAAUUUAGCUCAAACAAACAUUUAUUAAGAGGUUGCUACAUGCAAGAUAUUGUACUCAAUGCUAGAGCCUUUCAAUGUUUAGAGGAUGAGGGGACCGGACUUCCUUUGUGGUGGUUGAUGAUACCUCUCAAGUCAUCACAAAGAAAAAAAGUCAAGGACACAAUAGAAGAAUAACUUAAUCAUGAGGGAGUCAAUUAUCUAACAUUUUUGAGCACUUAAUAUGUAUCCUUCUCUGUAACAAACUCCAAAGGAUGUUGAGAUUCCCUUCAAUAAAAUGUAAGCUUCUUGAGGCCAGGAA
Molecule: long non-coding RNA, 4467 nt
Organism: Monodelphis domestica (gray short-tailed opossum)
Lineage: Eukaryota; Metazoa; Chordata; Mammalia; Didelphimorphia; Didelphidae
Source: RefSeq, a predicted model, not a curated record